RNAcentral lists this ribosomal RNA (498 nucleotides) under uncultured bacterium. Its description in RNAcentral is "bacterial SSU rRNA". It matches the Rfam family "Bacterial small subunit ribosomal RNA", at positions 28 to 507 of the family's 1533-position model. The record is from RNAcentral.
GAUGAACGCUAGCUACAGGCUUAACACAUGCAAGUCGAGGGGAAACGACAUCGAAAGCUUGCUUUUGGUGGGCGUCGACCGGCGCACGGGUGAGUAACGCGUAUCCAACCUGCCCACCACUUGGGGAUAACCUUGCGAAAGUAAGACUAAUACCCAAUGAUAUCCCACGAAGGCAUCGGAAUGGGAUUAAAGAUUUAUCGGUGAUGGAUGGGGAUGCCGUCUGAUUAGCUUGUUGGCGGGGUAACGGCCCACCAAGGCUACGAUCAGUAGGGGUUCUGAGAGGAAGGUCCCCCACAUUGGGAACUGAGACACGGUCCAAACUCCUACGGGAGGCAGCAGUGAGGAAUAUUGGGUCAAAUGGGGCGAGAGCCUGAACCAGCCCAAGUAGCGUGCAGGAUGACGGCCUAUGGUUGUAAACUGCUUUUAUAAGGGGAUAAAAGUGAGUACUCGUGAGACUUUUUGCAUGUACCUUAUGAAUAAGGACCGGCUAAUUCCGUG